RNAcentral lists this non-coding RNA (91 nucleotides) under Brochothrix campestris. RNAcentral describes it as "Glycine sequence". It matches the Rfam family "Glycine riboswitch aptamer". From Rfam's summary of the family: This family represents the bacterial glycine riboswitch. Glycine riboswitches usually consist of two metabolite-binding aptamers domains with similar structures in tandem. The record is from RNAcentral. RNAcentral also lists the same sequence under 1 other name. Lineage: Bacteria; Bacillati; Bacillota; Bacilli; Caryophanales; Listeriaceae.
CUGAACAUAGUGAGAGAGCAUGCAAAAAGCAUCACCGAAGGGGCAAGUGUUGCGACACGAAACUCUCAGGUAAACGGAUUACUAUGGGACA